CAAGUCGAGCGAGAUUCUUAGCAAUAAGAUGAAAGCGGCAAAAUGGAUAGUAACACGUGGAUACAUACCCUUGGGUCUGGGAUAGCGGCGGGAAACUGCCGGUAAUACCAGAUAAUGUCUUCGGACCAAAGAUUUAUUGCCCGAGGAGUGGUCCGCGUCCUAUUAGGUAGUUGGCGGGGUAAAGGCCCACCAAGCCGAAGAUGGGUAGCGGGUGUGAGAGCAUGGCCCGCAUCACUGGGACUGAGACACUGCCCAGACACCUACGGGUGGCUGCAGUCGCGAAUCUUCCACAAUGGACGAAAGUCUGAUGGAGCGACGCCGCGUGCGGGAUGAAGGCCUUCGGGUUGUAAACCGCUGUCGAGGGGAAUCAAAUUUUGAGUGAUCCCUGGAGGAAGCACCGGCUAAACUCGUGCCAGCAGCCGCGGUAAUACGAGUGGUGCAAACGUUGUUCGGAAUUACUGGGCUUAAAGGGUGCGUAGGCGGCCAUGUAGGUCUGAUGUGAAAUACCACGGCUCAACCGUGGAACUGCGUUGGAUACCGCAUGGCUGGAGUGAGACAGAGGUAAGCGGAACUGAUGGUGGAGCGGUGAAAUGCGUUGAUAUCAUCAGGAACACCGGUGGCGAAAGCGGCUUACUGGGUCUUUACUGACGCUGAUGCACGAAAGCUAGGGGAGCAAACGGGAUUAGAUACCCCGGUAGUCCUAGCUGUAAACGAUGAGUACUAGUCCGUGGGGACCCCCACAUCCUCUCGGACGUACCGAAAGUGUUAAGACUCCGCCUGGGAGUAUGGGCGCAAGCCUAAAACUCUAGG
RNAcentral lists this ribosomal RNA (810 nucleotides) under uncultured bacterium. RNAcentral's name for it is "bacterial SSU rRNA". It matches the Rfam family "Bacterial small subunit ribosomal RNA", at positions 58 to 906 of the family's 1533-position model. The record is from RNAcentral.